This is a long non-coding RNA of Oncorhynchus gorbuscha (pink salmon), 228 nucleotides long. RefSeq lists it as uncharacterized. The transcript is spliced from 3 exons. Lineage: Eukaryota; Metazoa; Chordata; Actinopteri; Salmoniformes; Salmonidae. The record is from RefSeq and is a predicted model, not a curated record.
GGAGGACUGGAGCUGAAACAUGUAAGGAGGACGGGAGGACGGCAGGAAGAGGAGACAGGGAGGUUAUCUGGAGUCAUUCCGCGGUGCCCCAAAGCGGGGGCCUUGUGAGUGCACAAGCAUGAGGGAGCGGACACAGUUAUGGAGCACAAUGGGACAGAAACCAGCAAGUGACACUGAAAGGACCUGAGCCCUAGGACCAUGCCUCAGAACUACCUGACAUGAUGACUC